Molecule: long non-coding RNA, 2990 nt
Filed under: Haliotis rubra (blacklip abalone)
Lineage: Eukaryota; Metazoa; Mollusca; Gastropoda; Lepetellida; Haliotidae
Description: uncharacterized LOC124279898, transcript variant X6
Source: RNAcentral
UGAUAUACUGUGUUCACCAUAAUGAUAUAUACCGGUAUGUGAUAUACUGUGUUCACCGUGUGAUAUAUACCGGUAUGUGAUAGACUGUGUUCACCGUGUGAUAUAUACCGGUAUGUGAUAUACUGUGUUCACCAUAAUGAUAUAUACUGGUAUGUGAUAUACUGUGUUCACCAUAUCAUAUAUACACGAAUGUGAUAUACUGUGUUCACCAUAAUAUAUUUACCGGUAUGUGAUAUACUGUGUUCACCAUAUGAUAUGCACGUGAUAUACAGUGUUCACUAUAUGAUAUGCAUGUCAUAUAAUGUGUUCACCAUAUGAUAUGCAUGUGAUAUACAGUGUUCAUCAUAUGAUAUGCAUGUCAUAUAAUGUGUUCACCAUAUGAUAUGCAUGUGGUGUACAGUGUUCACCAUAUGAUAUGCAUGGGAUACACAGUGUUCACCAUCUGAUAAGUAUGGGAUAUUGUGUUGCACACAUGGUUUUGGCUGGGUCUCCUUCAUGAAGCUGAUGAUAGAUGGACUGUUCCACAGGGGCUUUUCAUGCAAAACCUGACAUGAAGGUAUAGACCUGUGUUGUCCCGACUGAGACCUCGGCCCUGUAUAAUGUCAGUCAGUGUACAUCGGCCGUGAACUCAAGUGUCAAUGAUAUAGAUGAUUAGUGACAUAAAAAUAAAGAAUGAAAAGUUUAAUGAAUCAUAUUGUUGAACUGAUGUUGAAGUGAAUUGUUUCAGCCUAAGUGUCCUUAAGUCAUUCUUGUUAAUGAUGUGACAUUGUGUAUAGUAGCGUAGUAAGUAGUAACAGCUUAUCUUGUACUUGGUCUCGGAAUGUAGAAUUGGGUAGGAAGUUUCCCUGUUUCAAACAAAUGGUCAGUGAUGGCCACCUGACUGAAUGCCGUAUAUCGAGAUGCAAGCAGAGGUCAUCCAAAUUAACAAGAAGCAUUCAGUGUCUUUCCAACCAUGUGCCUAUAACAAAUGUAUACACAUAUUUAUCUAUUUUUAUACAAAUUUGUUAAAAUGAUACUUUUCUGAAAUAUGUACAUUUUUUUAAGAAAGUUCUCCAAACUGGAAGUCCAAUAUAUAAUAACUGUGGAAUAACCUGAACCCCGAUAUAUCUGACCCAUGAUAUAAUCAUUGUCAAGAUAUUUGUCCCCCAAUAUGAUCCUUAUCAAGGUAUCUGAUCCAUGAUAUGAUCUUUGUCAAGAUAUCAGUCCCCCAAUAUGAUAAUUGUCAAGAUAUCUGUUCCCCAAGAUGAUCUUUGCCAAGAUAUCUAAUGCCAAUAUGAUCAUUGUCAUGAUACAUGACCCUGAUAUGAUCCUUGUCCAGUUGACCCCUGAUUUUACCCGUAUACAGAUCUGUGAUGCAUAAUGCAUUCUGUCAUCAUUUGAGAUGUUGCAGUAAAAAGAUAUUCUGAAUUUGGCAUGUAUGAUAAUUUGUUUGCUGUGUAUUGUAAUAGGCAGAGUGAGUCCAUGGAAAAGUGUGAAGAAUGUGAUCAGGGCCCCGUUCCUCAAAGCGAUACGAUCGUAACUCCCAUACUUCAACAUAGACUUACAACAGUCGUAGAGCUAUGAUCGCUUUGAGGAAUGAGGCCCUGGUUAGAGGCUCUUGUGUUCACCUUCUUAUACCUGGGCUUUUAGGUCGCAUGGAGUCAAACCUUUGUGCAAUUAAUAUAGACAGUGCACUGUUUUGAAAAGCUUCAUGACGACAAUUUUGAUUGAAUUAGCCAUGAACAUGAAGCGUUGUCUGAGUGAGACUUUAGGAACUGAUACAUGUUCCCUCCUCCCUGUUAGUGAUAUCAAGCGAUACAUGUUCCCUCCUUCCUGUUAGUGAUAUCAAGUGAUACAUGUUCCCUCCUCCCUGUUAGUGAUAUCAAGCGAUACAUGUUCCCUCCUCCCUGUUAGUGAUAUCAAGCGAUACAUGUUCCCUCCUCCCUGUUAGUGAUAUCAAGCGAUACAUGUUCCCUCCUCCCUGUUAGUGAUAUCAAGUGAUACAUGUUCCCUCCUCCCUGUUAGUGAUAUCAAGUGAUACAUGUUCCCUCCUCCCUGUUAGUGAUAUCAAGCGAUACAUGUUCCCUCCUCCUUGUUAGUGAUAUCAAGCGAUACAUGUUCCCUCCUCCCUGUUAGUGAUAUCAAGCGAUAGUGGCUGGAUGUCAGCUACUGGCUGUUUUGUUGUAACCCAAAGAAUAAGAUGCACUAUUGACCUUUGUGGCCUUGCUUAUUUCUAGGGGCUUCAUCUGUGCUGGACAACACUGUGGUGUGUCCAUAUUGUCAGGGAUACUGACCAUAUGUGUGUUUAUUGAUACUCUUUUAACUUAUCAUAUGUGCUUGAUGCAAUUCCGUCCAUGUGUAUACAGAUAUUAACAUUUAUUUUACAAGUUAGAUAUUUUGUUAUUAUCCAUAAUACCAUGAUGCAAUACUUCUGUUUUAGUAAUCACAUUUCUAAUACUUGCUGUUAGAAAACUGAUUACCAUAUACUGGCUGUUUGUAAAACUGAUUAUCAAGAAUAAAUACAUAUGUUUUUGUAGCCCUCAUAAGUACAUAUUGUUUGACUCAAACAUUUGCCUGGGAUCAUUAGUAAAACAAUCAUGACCAAAUCAGUAGACCCCAUCGGUGCCACAUCAGUGAGCAUAUCCACAGGUCACAUCGGUGCCACAUCAGUGAGCAUAUCCACAGGUCACAUGGGUGCCACAUCAGUGAGCAGAUCAGCAGGUCACAUUGGUGCCACAUCAGUGAGCAGAUCUGCAGGUCACAUUGGUGCAGAUCAGCAUAUCACAUCAGUGAGCAGAUCAGCAGGUCACAUCAGUGCCACAUUAGUGAGCUGAUCAGCAGGUCACAUUGGUGCCACAUCAGUGUGCAGAUCAGCAGGUCACAUCGGUGCCACAUCAGUGAGCAGAUCUGCAGGUCACAUUGGUGCAGAUCAGCAGGUCACAUCAGUGAGCAGAUCAGCAGGUCACAUUGGUGUCACAUCAGUGAGCAGAUCUGCAUGUCACAUCAGUGAG